Molecule: ribosomal RNA, 1361 nt
Filed under: Vibrio parahaemolyticus
Lineage: Bacteria; Pseudomonadati; Pseudomonadota; Gammaproteobacteria; Vibrionales; Vibrionaceae
Description: partial 23S ribosomal RNA
Rfam family: Bacterial large subunit ribosomal RNA
Source: RNAcentral
UUCCAGGAAAAGCCUCUAAGCUUCAGAUUGUAAGGAAUCGUACCCCAAACCGACACAGGUGGUCGGGUAGAGAAUACCAAGGCGCUUGAGAGAACUCGGGUGAAGGAACUAGGCAAAAUGGUACCGUAACUUCGGGAGAAGGUACGCUCUCGACGGUGAAGUCCCUCGCGGAUGGAGCUAUUGAGAGUCGCAGAUACCAGGUGGCUGCAACUGUUUAUUAAAAACACAGCACUGUGCAAAAUCGUAAGAUGACGUAUACGGUGUGACGCCUGCCCGGUGCCGGAAGGUUAAUUGAUGGGGUUAGACUUCGGUCGAAGCUCUUGAUCGAAGCCCCGGUAAACGGCGGCCGUAACUAUAACGGUCCUAAGGUAGCGAAAUUCCUUGUCGGGUAAGUUCCGACCUGCACGAAUGGCGUAAUGAUGGCCACGCUGUCUCCACCCGAGACUCAGUGAAAUUGAAAUCGCUGUGAAGAUGCAGUGUACCCGCGGCUAGACGGAAAGACCCCGUGAACCUUUACUACAGCUUGGCACUGAACAUUGACCCUACAUGUGUAGGAUAGGUGGGAGGCUUUGAAGCACGUACGCCAGUAUGUGUGGAGCCGUCCUUGAAAUACCACCCUUGUAGUGUUGAUGUUCUAACGUCGACCCCUUAUCGGGGUUGCGGACAGUGCCUGGUGGGUAGUUUGACUGGGGCGGUCUCCUCCCAAAGAGUAACGGAGGAGCACGAAGGUGGGCUAAUCACGGUUGGACAUCGUGAGGUUAGUGCAAUGGCAUAAGCCCGCUUGACUGCGAGAAUGACAAUUCGAGCAGGUGCGAAAGCAGGUCAUAGUGAUCCGGUGGUUCUGAAUGGAAGGGCCAUCGCUCAACGGAUAAAAGGUACUCCGGGGAUAACAGGCUGAUACCGCCCAAGAGUUCAUAUCGACGGCGGUGUUUGGCACCUCGAUGUCGGCUCAUCACAUCCUGGGGCUGAAGUCGGUCCCAAGGGUAUGGCUGUUCGCCAUUUAAAGUGGUACGCGAGCUGGGUUUAGAACGUCGUGAGACAGUUCGGUCCCUAUCUGCCGUGGGCGUUGGAAGAUUGAAGGGGGCUGCUCCUAGUACGAGAGGACCGGAGUGGACGAACCUCUGGUGUUCGGGUUGUGUCGCCAGACGCAUUGCCCGGUAGCUAAGUUCGGAAUCGAUAACCGCUGAAAGCAUCUAAGCGGGAAGCGAGCCCUGAGAUGAGUCUUCCCUGAUACUUUAAGUAUCCUAAAGGGUUGUCGGAGACUACGACGUUGAUAGGUCAGGUGUGUAAGUGCUGUGAGGCAUUGAGCUAACUGAUACUAAUUGCCCGUGAGGCUUAACCAUACAACACCCAAGGGGUUU